Molecule: ribosomal RNA, 492 nt
Filed under: uncultured bacterium
Lineage: Bacteria
Description: partial 16S ribosomal RNA
Rfam family: Bacterial small subunit ribosomal RNA
Source: RNAcentral
AGUGAACGCUGGCGGUAUGCCUAACACAUGCAAGUCGAACGGCAGCACAGUAAUAUCUUGCUCUUACGGGUUGCGGGUGGCGUGCGGGUGAGGAGUACAUCGUAAUCUACUUUUUCGGGGGGGAUAACGUAGGGAAACUUACUCUAGUACCGCAUACGACCUACGGUUGAAAGCAGUGGAUCUUCGGACCUUUCGCGGUUGAAUGAGCCGAUGUCGGAUUAGCUAGUUGGGGGGGUAAAUGCCCACCAAGGCGACGAUCCGUAGCCUGUCUGAGAGACUGAUAGGCCACAUUAGAACGGGACCAGCGUCCAGACGCCUACGGGAGGCAGCAGUGGGGAAUAUUGGACAGUGGGCGCAAGCCUGACACAGCCAUACCGAGUGGGUGACGAAGGCCUUCGGGUUGUAAUGCCCUUUUGUUGGGAGAGAACAGCAGCAGGUUAAUACCAAGCUGUUCUGACGGUACCCAAAGAAUAAGCACCGGCUAACUUCGUG